UUUGGGCUUUUAACAAUUACGCUUUCUGGAAACAUUUAUUAAGACUUUGUUCCUACAUUUUCUUACAUCCUCCCUGUGCUGUGAAUUUGGAUCUGGAGUCAAACAAACCUGGACUGAAAUCCUGGCCCUGCAUGCCUCCAGCGUAUGUGACGCCAGCCAAGUUACCAUCUCUGACCACUCUUCCCUUGAGUGGAAAAGAGAGGGAGGACAACAGGGGCUUCUUCGUGUGGCUGGUGUAGGAAUCCAACGGAAAAGACCUGUAAAACUACCUUCCAUGCAGUUUGCCAACUGAUUUGACCAAUACUUAUCAAGCACAAGCCACGAGCCAGACAUCCACCAGGGCCUGGGAGAGAAGGGUGAAGAAGACUGUCCAGGACCUCGCAGUGCUUAGAGUCUAGAGACAGGCACAGACAGACCAGGCCUCUGCCAAACUCUCCUUAGGCAGGAGCACAGAAAGCCCUUGAAGAAUCACAGAGGACCAAAGACUCGGGAGGGAAACGCUAGGAUGCAGGACAGGAGAAACGUGCCACCCUGGAAAUGCGACUCAACACUGACUUGACCCUGCUGCUCAGAAGCUGGCGAUUUGGGCCGCUAGGGAGGGAGCAACUGUUGCUACUGCUAUCUGGCAAAUUGGACCUGGGAUGCUGCUAGGCAUCUGCAACACGCAGGACAGCCCCACGAUGAAGAACAAUCCAGCUCCAAACGUCAGGACUUUUCGGGUUGGAAAAUCCUGG
This is a long non-coding RNA of Herpailurus yagouaroundi (jaguarundi), 734 nucleotides long. RefSeq lists it as uncharacterized. The record is from RefSeq and is a predicted model, not a curated record. The transcript is spliced from 4 exons. NCBI's taxonomy places the organism in Eukaryota, Metazoa, Chordata, Mammalia, Carnivora, Felidae.